This 391-nucleotide ribosomal RNA is filed under the name uncultured bacterium. RNAcentral's name for it is "bacterial SSU rRNA". It matches the Rfam family "Bacterial small subunit ribosomal RNA", at positions 28 to 403 of the family's 1533-position model. The record is from RNAcentral.
GACGAACGCUGGCGGCGUGCUUAACACAUGCAAGUCGAGCGGGGAUAGAUACUGGAAGGUUUCGGCUGGAAGGUAUUUAUUCUAGCGGCGGACGGGUGAGUAACGCGUGAACAAUCUGUCCCAGACAGGGGGAUAACAGAUGGAAACAUCUGCUAAUACCGCAUAAGACCACGAGGUCGCAUGGCCAUGGGGUAAAAGNGGAAUCCGGUUGGGGUGAGUUCGCGUCCGAUUAGCUAGUUGGUGGGGUAACGGCCUACCAAGGCGACGAUCAGUAGCCGGCCUGAGAGGGUGAACGGCCACAUUGGGGACUGAGACACGGUCCAGACUCCUACGGGAGCAGCAGUGAGGAAUAUUGGCAAUGGAGGCAACUCUGAACCAGCCAAGUAGCGUG